RNAcentral lists this ribosomal RNA (465 nucleotides) under uncultured bacterium. RNAcentral's name for it is "partial 16S ribosomal RNA". It matches the Rfam family "Bacterial small subunit ribosomal RNA", at positions 28 to 507 of the family's 1533-position model. The record is from RNAcentral.
GAUGAACGCUGGCGGCGUGCUUAACACAUGCCAGUCGAACGGAAAGGCUCCUGCUUGCAGGGGUACUCGAGUGGCGAACGGGUGAGUAACACGUGGGUGAUCUGCCCUGCACUUCGGGAUAAGCCUGGGAAACUGGGUCUAAUACCGGAUAGGACGAUGGUUUGGAUGCCAUUGUGGAAAGUUUUUCGGUGUGGGAUGAGCUCGCGGCCUAUCAGCUUGUUGGUGGGGUAAUGGCCUACCAAGGCGUCGACGGGUAGCCGGCCUGAGAGGGUGUACGGCCACAUUGGGACUGAGAUACGGCCCAGACUCCUACGGGAGGCAGCAGUGGGGAAUAUUGCACAAUGGGCGCAAGCCUGAUGCAGCGACGCCGCGUGGGGGAUGACGGCCUUCGGGUUGUAAACUCCUUUCGCUAGGGACGAAGCGCAAGUGACGGUACCUGGAGAAGAAGCACCGGCUAACUACGUG